This 67-nucleotide transfer RNA is filed under the name Gabronthus thermarum. RNAcentral describes it as "tRNA-Trp". The record is from RNAcentral. Lineage: Eukaryota; Metazoa; Arthropoda; Insecta; Coleoptera; Staphylinidae.
AAGGAUUUAAGUUAAGUAAAACUUGUAGCCUUCAAAGCUUCGAAUAAAGAAUAAACUUUAAGCCUUA